Molecule: ribosomal RNA, 253 nt
Filed under: uncultured bacterium
Lineage: Bacteria
Description: partial 16S ribosomal RNA
Rfam family: Bacterial small subunit ribosomal RNA
Source: RNAcentral
UACAGAGGGUGCGAGCGUUAAUCGGAGUUACUGGGCGUAAAGGGUGCGUAGGCGGUAAGAUGUGUGUGAUGUGAAAGCCCCGGGCUUAACCUGGGAAGUGCAUCGCAAACUAUCUAACUAGAGUAUAUGAGAGGGUGGCGGAAUUUCCGGUGUAGCGGUGAAAUGCGUAGAGAUCGGAAGGAACGUCAAUGGCGAAGGCAGCCACCUGGCAUAAUACUGACGCUGAGGCACGAAAGCGUGGGGAGCGAACAGG